RNAcentral lists this long non-coding RNA (5639 nucleotides) under Sus scrofa (pig). Its description in RNAcentral is "lncRNA (ENSSSCG00025039123.1)". Lineage: Eukaryota; Metazoa; Chordata; Mammalia; Artiodactyla; Suidae. The record is from RNAcentral.
AAGUGGGACCCUCAAAAAAAAAAAAAAGUCACAACCAGGAGCGCUUCACAGACAUCGUCAGCUUUUAUUUGCAUACUUUGCUGCAGAUAAUAAUACCGUGAUGAUUGGCAGUGGCGUGUUUUGCAGAGAAAGGAGGAAAACCCAAACACAAACGCACAAAGCGAGGCAAAAACUCACAUAAACAUGCUGGGAAGGGUGGCGCUCAGUGCUAUGGUUAUGUUUUUAUUAUAUGCCAGGGUAAUUAAUUUAACCCCGGGAGUGGUAAUUCGGGUAGAAGGUGCCCCAAAUGAGCCCCUUUAUCCAUCCCCCAAAUAUUUCUUUGGAAUGAAAAAUAAGUGAAAGAUAAACAUAUCAUUCCGGGCGGAGCAUGAAUCAUGGAGACUCAUAUUUACAGUUAUUCUCUACCCCUUUUUAUUGCGAUUCUCAUUUUGUUAGUGGACUGGCCGUUUCCUCCUGCUGGGGCUCCAGCACACCCCAGGCAGUGCACAAGCUGAGCUGACCACAGGGAAGGUAGGAUCUGAUCUGAAAGGGAGGGAGAGAGCAUCAAACAGAUAAAUGGGAGACUCUACAGCAAUACACGGGGGAGUCGCCUUUGGCCGUGGAGGUGGAUGGACGGACAUCUCCAGGCAGUAGGCGAGUUGGCAUUAAGGUUGAAGUGGUCCUUCUUCAUUUUCUCUCUGCAAAUAAUGUGCACUCUUAGGUUCAUCCUUCCCGAGGAAAUCGAUAGAGGACCAACACAGUGGACAGGAUCCGGGAGGUCCUUCCUGUUCUUUAGGUAUAAAUUAGAAGUUACAUGAAUUUCUUAAAUCUUGUGAAUUGGUGAGAUGCCGCCCUACUGACCUUCGAGAGUGAAUUCACCUCCUUUCACCUACAGAAUGACCUGACUCAAGGAAGGGCCCUUUCUAUCUUUAGGAUACAUGAAAACCUACAUUUACAUUGAGUCACACUUAAAAUAACCCAGUGGUAAAAAAAAAUGUGCAGUUUAACAGUUCCACAGCAGAUCAGACAGGUGCCUGUGAAGAUGCCUGAGUAAAAAGGGUUUUUUAAUUUUGUGUGUGUGUGUGUGUGUGCGCGCGCGCAUGUGUGCGCCCGUGCUGGAGAAAUAGAGUUGCCCUGCCCUUUGUAAAUUGCAAGUCAAUUUGAAGUUUUUGUCUGGUUGCCAUGGUUACUGCUCCUGUUUCUUUGCCCCGGGAUGAUGCAAAUCAUUGCCCGAUUUGCCCUUUCUCACCUGUUGCUACCGUAAACCAUCCCUAGAAGGGAAAGACUCCUUUGUGUUCCUUUGCUUGCUUCGUGUGUGUGUGUUUUAAGCCUGGGAGUGUGCGUUGCUGGGCUAACAGGAAAUCAGGUGGUAGGCAGUCAGGUCCUUGGUAAGGUGCAGCCCCUGGAUACUUUGGUGACAUUAUCUUCUUCAUAAUUAGCUGGGAAAAUCAUCUUGGUAUAGUCUAACGCGGCCCCAAACUCACUGUUUCGCUGAUGAAUUAUGUGAAAAAGGCAUCCUAUUCGCCAAGGAAUGCCAAGUCAUUGCCAGGUCAGCUUCAUUAAUUAGAGACAUUAAUUAUAGGCGAAAGUUAGAAAAAGUGAACGGCGAGUGGCUUUUUUUGGGAUCUUGAUCACCCUCCCGGUAUUCAUUGCACACUUUUGACUACUGAGUGGUACCCACCGAGCAUCUGAGCAUUCUCUAACAGUGCCGAGCCUGACCCAGGGGUUCCAGGACAGGGCCUGAGGUGCUGCAUCUCUAACAAGCUCCCCCCUGAUGCUGAUGCCGCGGGUCCUGGCCCCUCACCUUGAGUAGCCGCAAUGAAGCUACACGGAGAACUGGAGCCCUGAAAAACCACCAAGCAAAUUCCCGUUUUCUCCUCCACAGACCUUUCGUGCACUGAAUCUCACUGCUUUUUAUUUAGGAAAACAAUGCGAUUAUCAGCAGGUAUUGUGGAACUUCUUUUUCCACUGGUGUUUGGUUAUUGAAAUGGUGACAACAUUUUACCCCAUCCACCUAGACUUGGGAUUUUUCUUUUCUCUCCUCUCCCCUCCCCCUCCCCUCCUGUGUGUGUGUGUGUGUGUGUGUGUGUGGUCAGGGAUCAAACUUCUGCCACAGCAGCCACCCGAGCCACUGCAAUACAACACUGGAUCCUUAACCCGCUGCGCCAUGAGAACUCCUAGAAUUAUUUUUUUUUAAUUGAAGUAUAGUUGAUUUACAAUAUUGUGUUAGUUUCAAGGGUUCUCUUUAAAGCAAGGAUCCAGCAUUGUCACUGCUGUGGCAUGGGUUCAGUCUCUGGCCUGGGAAUUUCCAGAGUGCAAUGGAUUCAGCCAAAAGAGAAAAAACAACAGCUAAAAAUAGAGCUACCAAAUGAUCCAGCAAUCCUACCCCUGGGCAUCUAUCCAGAAAAGGCUGAAGUUCUAAUGUGACACGAUAGGUGGACCUCAGUGUUCAUGGCAGCACUGUUACAACAGCCAAGACCUAGAGGCAGCCUACGUGUCCAUCGGCAGGUGGGUGGAUAAAGAAGAUGUGGUGUAUAUACACAAUGGAAUACGACUCAGUCAUAAGAGAGAAUAAUGUAUUGCCAUUUGCAGCAACCCAGAGAUGGGAGGGACCUAGAGAAAAUCACACAGAGUGAAGUAAGUCAGACACAGAAUGACAAAUACUAGGUGAUGUCACAUAUGUGGACUCUAAAAAAUAAUGCAAGUAAACUCUUGAAUUCUUUUUCUGCUAAAUCUGUUAUAUAGCGAGGGGUUGGGAGUAGUGGUCAAAAGCAUAGACUCUGGGCCCCAGCUGCCUAGAUCUGGCUCUGCCACCUUACUAGCUCCAUGACCUUGGGCAAAAGAGUUAACUCUCUGUGCUCAGUUUCUUUGUCUAUAGCACCCAGGUGCUAGUACUCAUCUGUUAGCAAUUUUGUUAGAAUUCAUGAAUUAAUAUAUGAAUUAGUGUGAAAGAAUAUGUCAAAAUAUACCUGGUGCACACUAUAUGUUUGUUACUUUUAUUGUCAUUGAUAACAUUAUUCAUCUUAUUAAAAUUAGAGACCAUGGAGUUACAUUAAAUAUUUGAGACCAGGUGGACUGAUUUUUUUUUUUUUUUUGUAGGGGCUGGGGAGAAACAAUUUUUUUCUUUAUUAUUCAAUGAUUUUAUUACAUUUAUAGUUGUACAAUGAUCAUCACAAUCCAAUUUUAUAGGAUUUCCAUCCCACAACCCCCUUCCUUUUUCUUUUCCUGGCUGCGCUUGCCGCACGUGGAAGUGCCCAGGCUAGGGGUCAAAUCAGAGCUGCAGCUGCCAGCCUAUGCUGCAGCCACAGCAACACCGGGUCUAAGCCACAUCUGUGACCUGGGCCACAGCUUGUGGCAACAGCAGAUCUUUAAUCCACUGAGAGAGGCUAGGGUUUGAACCCAUAUCCUCAGAGACAUCGUGUUGGAUUUUUAACGCACUGAGCCGCUAAGGAACUCCCAGUUGCGUAUUUGGAUGGGAGAUUUGUCCUGACUGUCCAUGUGAAUUCUGAAUGGACAAGUUUGUAACAUAAAGACUCAGGAGAGUCCUACGAAAAGGAAGCAGGUGGAGAUUUGCUCCAAAGAAGAGAGGCAAUGCGAAGAUCGAGCAGAGCAGUUGAAGGUGCUGUGCUCCCUUCCUUGAAGAUGGAAGGAAGCCUGGAGCCAAAGGAUGCGAGCAUCCAGCCCUGGGGCCCGGAUAAGGUGAGGACGUUGCUCCAGUCUAGAGCCUUCAGCGCGACCCCGCCGAGGGCUUGAUUUCACCCCCUGGAACCCAUUUCAGAUUUCUCACCUCCAGGAAUUGAGUUGUUUUCAGCCCCCUCCCCCCAGUUUGUCGUAAUUUGUCACAUAGGAAGCUAAUAUGUCACUUCACUGUCUAAGAAGUAAGCAUCUCUCUCAAGGGCAUUGAGAUUUUACAAAACGAAAUUAAUAUUCAAAUGUAUAACGAGCCUAUGUGAAACCGUAAUAGCUGUCAUUGAUUGGAAAAGGGGAGAGUUAAAAGGAGAACAUUUGAAGUUGACUCCUGGGGUACGCAUUGGUUGGAGAAGCUUUGGAAGUAGAGAGAAUCAGGGGUUCUUUCGUUUCUUGGCAUUUUAUGGCACCGCGCUUGGCUGUACCAUCGUCUUGUGCACGAAGCCGAUACUGCCACGACACGGUACAGUCAGAGGCUGCAAAUCUUGCUGAGACGUGAUGCUCUCUUUCUUCCCAUCCUCUCCCUCCUCUUCUCCCUCCUCCCACCCCCUAACAUUAUGUGGUCCCCAUGGCCGAACUUUUCUGGAAGACGACUCUCUAGGCUAUGUAUAUUUUUCAUUUGAUUUGGUUAACACGUCUUAGAAUGAAAAAAAAUUAUGGCAAUUGGAUGGCAUCAAGAGGAUUUGACACCUUCUAGGAUGAGAGGCAGAGAGAGAAUUCUGGAUUAUUUAUUCCCCCCCAAGGAUAGCCUAGUUCUCCAUGUUAGAGGAGUGCAUCAUUAAUGUUUUCGAAUUUACUGGAACAUACCUUACACCUAGGUAGGUGGCUGUGAUUUCUUAUUUACCUUUCUCUUUUUUUUUAGGUUCACACCUGCAGCAUAUGUAGGUUCCCAGGCGAGGGGUUGAAUGGGGACUGCAGAGCUGCCUGCCACAGCCACAGCCACAGCCACAGCCAUACCAGAUGCAAUCUGUGUCUGCGACCCACACCACAGCUCGUGGCAAUGCUGGGUCCUUAACCCACUGAGCAAGGUCAGGGAUGGAACCUGGGUCCUCGUGGGUGCUGGUCGGACUCAUUUUUCACUGAGUCAAGAUAGGAACUCCUUACUUAGUUUUUUUUUAAUCUUCUUAUUUUGUUCUUAAGAUGGGUGAUUUCUUUUCGUAAAAGAUCUUGGUGGAAGAAUUCACAUCAACCACCACAAGGAACUUACUUUAUGCCGCACUUUGCAUGUUUCCCUGUGGCCUCUCAUUGCGAUGAAAUAAGGCAGAAUGUUUUUGCUGCUUGAACUUGGCUUCCCUUUAUUUUCCGUCUUCAUUAAUGCCUGUCUUGCUUUGGCACACGGCACUCUGGUUCCCAACACUCUGGGAGAAAAUGCUUAAUUACUGAAAAACUUUGACUGCAAUUCAGGAAGAACAUGCCGGGGAACAUAUUUGUUCAGGUUAAGUUUAUGCGACUUUCAGAAAACAAGACACAAAUAAUCUGCCGCUAAACCACACGCGGGCGCGUUCCCUGGAAGGAUUUGGUUGUGCGGGGGGCAGAAAGAGAUGGUGUCUGAGCCACUCAUUGAACAUGCCUUAAAAGGAGACGCAAGAAGCAAGAUGUGCUCCUGCUGGCAGGAGACCAGUUCCUCUCGAGGUCUGUACACGGUGCCAGAACACCGUCCACGGGGCCGCGGAAUUGAACACAAGCGUCGAGUUUUAACUCCACUCCGUGUGCAUCGAGGUUGCUUAGGUAUUAGGAACAUCUCCUUUAAAAAAAAAAAAGAAAGAAAAUAACACUAGACUGUGCGUUGGAAGACCAGGGUUGCCGCUUUGGGGGGCAUCACUUCCUCCCCACACAGCGUUAAACCAGCCCCUUCACUACAUGUGCGUCCAUUUGUUUGUAAAGUAGCAAGGUUGACGUUGCUUCCCACUCGUGAUGCUCUGGGGGAUGUAAAGAUUGGGUGUCUGCAACCACGUCGUCAAAUGCGAUUUUAU